Molecule: long non-coding RNA, 605 nt
Filed under: Homo sapiens (human)
Lineage: Eukaryota; Metazoa; Chordata; Mammalia; Primates; Hominidae
Description: HSALNT0409391
Source: RNAcentral
AGGCCAGCCAGGCGGGGCGUCGCACGUGGCUGCUUCACCUUGACCAUGAGUGUCCUGCAGUUCUUCCGGCUGCUAGCAGGGGACGCAAGAGUCUGCCUCUUCUGACCCUGGGAGUGCAGGUGUUUUCAGCGCAUGCUGCUUGAGGGGGAGAGCAGCGUUCUUCUCAGCACAGACCAGAGCAACAACGCCUUGCUGUGGGACAGCUGCAGGGAGUGAUGGAGUCUUCCUCUGUUCCCAUAGCUGGAGUGCAAUGACGUGAUCUCGGCUCCGGUAACCUCAGCUUCCUGGAUUCGUGCAAUUCUCCUCUCUUAGCUUCCUGAGGAUCUGGGAUUACAGGACUCAGCCACCACUGCUGGCUAACUUUUGUAUUUUUGGUAGAGAGCUUGUUUCACCAUGUUGAUCAGGAUGAUCUCAAACACCUGACUUAAGGACAUCCACCUGGCUCUACCUCCCAAAGUGCUGGGAUUACAGCACGCGUUGUACUGUUCAAUUUGACUGCUCUUUAAUUCCUUGUCCUUGGGGGUUGUAAGGAAUUCCUGUUUUAUGAGUGAUUGACCAUAGCUGUAAUAAAUUUUAAAAAGCAUGACUAACAUAAGCGUGUCCAU